CACAUCCUGCAUCUCCCUCCAGCUUCAGGGAGGAUUCCAGGAGUGGCGUGGGGCUAGGGUGGCCUGAGAGACUUCAGGGACAAGUGCCUAGCAGAGUUCCACAUAUGUGAAAUAAGAUGCUUUGGGAAAUCAUUCUUCUUUUUGCAACGUCAGUGAUUUGAACCAGAAACUGAUAUUGACUCACCUGGGCUCUGACUCUUUCCAAGUUACACAUCUGGGGGCCUGAGGAACCGCCCCAUGAGUCCCCGGAGCUGCCGUGGGCAUGGGACGGGAAGCUUUGUAAGCAAUUAAUCACAGUUAGCCUCAUCUGAUCGCCACUGGCCACGAUCAGGCCCUCUGAAAGUGCCUACUUGGAUGCUUGCCAAUCUGCUAUGCCUUGGAGGAAAAAAUCAUUUCAAUUUAAGAAAAUAGACACAGAAGCAAAAAACCAAAGUGAGCCUGGAAGGUUUGCCUGUCCGUGACAGUCUACAGAGCAGCUGUUUGUGCCUGUCACCUGCUCAGGCUCUCACGGUGACUGCAUGGGGAGGGCAGGGUGUGUGCAUUGAUACCUGCCGUGCCCAGUGUACACCGAGGUUUGCCCAUGCUGCAGCUGGAAGGCAGUAGAACAAAGGUUCGUUCCAACCUCUACACCUGAAUUGCAUUCUGCGUCAUCGUCCUGCCUUCUAGAACAACAUCCAACUCCAUGGGCUGCCUUUUAAGAUCUUGAUGGAGGGGGAG
RNAcentral lists this small RNA (717 nucleotides) under Pongo abelii (Sumatran orangutan). RNAcentral describes it as "sense intronic". The record is from RNAcentral. Lineage: Eukaryota; Metazoa; Chordata; Mammalia; Primates; Hominidae.